RNAcentral lists this long non-coding RNA (902 nucleotides) under Sus scrofa (pig). RNAcentral describes it as "lncRNA (ENSSSCG00015065210.1)". Lineage: Eukaryota; Metazoa; Chordata; Mammalia; Artiodactyla; Suidae. The record is from RNAcentral.
GCUGUUCCCGCGCCCGGGGCAGGAAGGCGCGCUGGGCAGUUAGGUGCCCUCAGGGUGCCAGGCUCGUCAGACUGCUGGCCUUUCAGUCAUGUAUUCCAAUAUUUUGAGAAGGCCUACUGUGUGCCAGGCGCUGGGCCCCAGGGAGCGAAGCCGUCGUGCCGCCGCCGUAAUUGUACGCGGGUGCAGGGGUGCAGGGCUGGAAGCAGAUGCCUACUUGGUGCUGGUGUCAUUCCCAAAGGGGAGGCCAUCGCUGGUGCACAGGGAGGCUGGGUGGACAGAAUCUUCCUUUUUCUGCCACCCCCCAAAGCCAUCUAGUGAGAGGUGCUGCCAGCUUUGAAGGUUCCCUGCUCUCCCUGGUCCUCUGGUUCUCUUCAGACUCAUCUCGAGAGGAUGGACUGUCCCAGUGGGUCUCCGGUAAGCGCUGCAGUGGCUUCCUUAGCUGCCCCUCCCUGGAUACUGGUGCACAUAAGGAUGAGAGGAUGGGUGGAUGCAAGGACAAAGGGACAGGUUUUCCCCAAGCCCUCCUUCCCGGUGAGAUCCUCUCUAACCACUACAGCGGAACUGCCACCCUUCCCCCAGCCAAGCAUCCUUCCCCCUCCUGCCCCCACCUCUGCUCUCUUUCCCCCAUAGCACCUUUCUGCACCUCGAAGACCCUCUCCGUUCAUCAUUGCCUUUCUCCCAUGUUAGUGCAGAGGCUCCCCGAGGGCAGCGAUCCCUUUUUUUUUUUCUUUUUUUUUUUUUCUUUUUUUUUUUUUAGGGCUGCACCCAGGGCAUAUGGAGGUUCCCAGGCUAGGGGUCUAAUUGGAGCUGUAGCCACCAGCCUACGCCACAGCCACAGCCGCGCCAGAUCCGAGCCGCAUCUGCGGCCUACACCACAGCUCACGGCAAUGCCAGAUCCUUAA